RNAcentral lists this ribosomal RNA (253 nucleotides) under uncultured bacterium. RNAcentral's name for it is "partial 16S ribosomal RNA". It matches the Rfam family "Bacterial small subunit ribosomal RNA", at positions 524 to 776 of the family's 1533-position model. The record is from RNAcentral.
UACGAAGGGGGCAAGCGUUGUUCGGAAUUACUGGGCGUAAAGCGCACGUAGGCGGCAUUGCAAGUCGGAUGUGAAAUCCCUCGGCUUAACCAAGGAAGUGCAUCCGAAACUGCAGUGCUUGAGUACUUAAGAGGAUCGCGGAAUUCCCGGUGUAGAGGUGAAAUUCGUAGAUAUCGGGAGGAACACCAGUGGCGAAGGCGGCGAUCUGGGAAGAUACUGACGCUGAGGUGCGAAAGCGUGGGGAGCAAACAGG